AGCACGGAGGAAGUUUUAUUUCUUUGGUUGGCGAGUGGCGGACGGGGUGAGUAAUGUAUCGGAACGUGCCCAGUAGUGGGGGAUAACUACGCGAAAGCGUAGCUAAUACCGCAUAUUCUCUUCGGAGGAAAGGGGGGGAUCAUUUGACCUCUCGCUAUUGGAGCGGCCGAUAUCAGAUUAGUUAGUUGGUGGGGUAACGGCCUACCAAGGCAGUGAUCUGUAGCUGGUUUGAGAGGACGACCAGCCACACUGGGACUGAGACACGGCCCAGACUCCUACGGGAGGCAGCAGUGGGGAAUUUUCGACAAUGGGGGAAACCCUGAUCGAGCCAUCCCGCGUGUGGGACGAAGGCCUUCGGGUUGUAAACCACUUUUCUUAGCGAAGAAAAGUCUUAGGCUAAUACCUUAAGACGCUGACGGUAGCUAAGGAAUAAGCAUCGGCUAACUACGUGCCAGCAGCCGCGGUAAUACGUAGGAUGCAAGCGUUAAUCGGAAUUACUGGGCGUAAAGGGUGCGCAGGCGGCUUGGAAAGAACGGUGUGAAAUCCCGGGGCUCAACCCCGGAACUGCACUAUCAACUAUCAAGCUAGAGUAUGUCAGAGGGGGGUGGAAUUCCGCGUGUAGCAGUGAAAUGCGUAGAUAUGCGGAGGAACACCAAUGGCGAAGGCAGCCCCCUGGGAUAAUACUGACGCUCAGGCACGAAAGCGUGGGUAGCAAACAGGAUUAGAUACCCUGGUAGUCCACGCCCUAAACGAUGUCAACUAGCUGUUGGGCCGGUUACGGCUUAGUAGCGCAGCUAACGCG
This 802-nucleotide ribosomal RNA is filed under the name uncultured bacterium. RNAcentral describes it as "bacterial SSU rRNA". It matches the Rfam family "Bacterial small subunit ribosomal RNA", at positions 65 to 859 of the family's 1533-position model. The record is from RNAcentral.